RNAcentral lists this long non-coding RNA (287 nucleotides) under Drosophila guanche. Lineage: Eukaryota; Metazoa; Arthropoda; Insecta; Diptera; Drosophilidae. The record is from RNAcentral.
GGCAGGGAAGGAAACAUCAAAAAGAGGCAAGAUCUCGAUCUCGCAUUACAUAACCACAGUCGAGCGGCAUUGUUUUGUGAACCCACCGCCAUAAAUAGGCCUAUCCGAUGAACGCUAGACCCAAACGAAUUAUCGCAAAUCAAUGAGGCAUUAAGAUACAAUUGAACUGUGAGUGGGAGGCAAGACGACGACGAUGACCUUACUGAUCCCCAAGAUGACUUUCUCAAAAGGCAAAAUGUGAGAUGAACAGAAGCGUGCAAAAUAAAUGAAGCAAAUGUAUAAACAGA